AUCCGUGCUGACCCGAGCGGGCUCGGGCUGAGGAGCGGCUGCAGGGACCGGGACAAACGGGGGGGCAGAGAGGGGUUUCGGCCGGGUUUUAAGGAUGCCCGCUGGGGAGGAGGCAGAGCGGCUCCAGCUCUGCUCUCCAGACUGCUGUGGGUGCUCCUCGGAGCCGCGGAGUUUCAUCGGUCCCAAACCUGCUGGGGAAAGGCCCCGUGAAGCCACAGGAGCCCCGGCACAGCCUGAGCAGCCCCGGCCCGGCGCGUCCUUCCCCCGCAGCUCCCGCCCGAGGCCAUCGGGGCCACAGGGCUCCCUGAGGGGACACCCCGAGGGCCCCAGCCCUGCUCGAGCAGAGGCAGCACCAUCUAGAGUUAAGGAGAGAAAGAAACCGAGCGAGCGGCUUCCGAAUUUCCCGUAAAGCAGCCGACCCGCAGCUGCAUUUCCUGGCGGGAUCUUUUCCGAACGCCAUUGGACCCUCAGAGCGUGACCAGGACUUUGGUGCCGUGGAGUGUCGCGGUACCGGGAUUAGAGCAGACUCAUCGCAGCUCUCGCUCCUGUCCAGCUGCCCAUGGGCUUUCUUCCAGUUGCCGUGGCGUACCUGGCGGUACUGGUCAUAGGCGCUGCACUUUUGGUUGUCGCAAUGAAUCAGCCCAUGAAGACCACUGUGAAUGCCGGGGGUGCACAUGGUGAUCCUGGGGAGAAACAAAAGGCCAGCCCCCCAGGCUGCAGCCAAUGCCUUGCUGACCAGAAGAAGAAAGCCUGAUCACCAUGGGCAGUGAACAGAAGGGGCUGCAUAAAUGUCCUGAGUCUGCCCUCUGAGCAGCAGCUGAUGGCCUGCUGGAACAGAAACAGCUCCCUGUGCUCAAUGCAAGGGAGCAGAAGCAAGAUUCCUUCCUUCCAAGCACAUGGAUUCGUCCUCAAACGGCUGGUGCUGGAAAGUCCAAUCCCUCCCACAGCUUCUGCUUUCAAUGAUUUGGAAUUCAGCAGUAAAUAAGCAAUAAAUGCACAGUGCUGGCA
Melospiza melodia melodia is the source of this 1008-nucleotide long non-coding RNA. RefSeq lists it as uncharacterized. Lineage: Eukaryota; Metazoa; Chordata; Aves; Passeriformes; Passerellidae. The transcript is spliced from 6 exons. The record is from RefSeq and is a predicted model, not a curated record.